RNAcentral lists this long non-coding RNA (1181 nucleotides) under Sarcophilus harrisii (Tasmanian devil). RNAcentral describes it as "lncRNA (ENSSHAG00000029334.1)". Lineage: Eukaryota; Metazoa; Chordata; Mammalia; Dasyuromorphia; Dasyuridae. The record is from RNAcentral.
UCCAGUUUUUCACCUCUUACCCCCCACUCCCUCCCCCAGAUGGCAGGAUGACCAGUAGAUGUUAAAUAUAUUAAAAUAUAAAUUAGAUACAUAAUAAGUAUACAUGACCAAAACGUUAUUUUGCUGUACAAAAAGAAUCAGACUCUGAAAUAUUGUACAAUUAGCUUGUGAAGAAAAUCAAAAAUGCAGGUGGGCAUAAAUAUAGGGAUUGGGAAUUCAAUGUAAUAAUAGUUUUUAGUCAUCUCCCAGAGUUCUUUCUCUGGGCAUAGCUGGUUCAGUUCAUUACUGCUCCAUUGGAAAUGAUUUGGUUGAUCUCAUUGCUGAGGAUGGCCAGGUCCAUCAGAACUGGUCAUCAUAUAGUAUUGUUGUUGAAGUAUAUAAUGAUCUCCUGGUCCUGCUCAUUUCAUUCAGCAUCAGUUCGUGUAAGUCUCUCCAGGCCUUUCUGAAAUCAUCCUGUUGGUCAUUUCUUACAGAACAAUAAUAUUCCAUAAUAUUCAUAUACCACAAUUUAUUCAGCCAUUUUUCAACUGAUGGGCAUCUACUCAGUUUCCAGUUUCUAGCCACUACAAAGAGGGCUGCCACAAACAUUCGUGCACAUACAGGUCCCUUUCCCUUCUUUAUGAUCUCUUUGGGAUAUAAGCCCAGUAGUAACACUGAUGAAUCAAAGGGUAUGCACAGUUUAAUAACUUUUUGAGCAUAGUUCCAAAUUGAAAAGCAUUUUACACAUAUUUUCUCAGCUGACCCUUUCAACAUUCCUGGGAGGGAAGUUCUAUAAUUAUCCCCAAUUUACAGAGGGAGAAAUUGAGGUUUAGAGUGGCUAACUGAUUUUCCCUAGGUCACAUGCCUGAGAAGUAUAUCUAAAGAAAAAUUUCAACCCAGGUAUUCCUGAAUCCAACUGCCACCUUCUAUUCUACCAGAAUAGAACAUUAGUUCCUGGUAGCCCAUCAGGAACAUUAUUCAUAUUUCUUAGGAAUUUUUUUCUUCAAAUGCAUUUAAAUAAUCACUUAUUCCCAUACUUAAAAUAACUAAUUAUUGCUACUUACUCCCUGUGCGUUCUUUAGCAAGCCAUUUAAUCCUUCCUGCCUUAUUUCUUCAUUUAUAAAAUAAUUAAUUUGAAAGAUCUUAGGAUCCUUUUAAUGUCUAAAACUUCUGAUCUUUUAAAAGAAAAAAAGAAGAGAAAG